GAUGAACGCUGGCGGCGUGCUUAACACAUGCAAGUCGAACGGAAAGGCCCAAGCUUGCUUGGGUACUCGAGUGGCGAACGGGUGAGUAACACGUGGGUGAUCUGCCCUGCACUUCGGGAUAAGCCUGGGAAACUGGGUCUAAUACCGGAUAGGACCACUUCUUGGAUGUUGUGGUGGAAAGUUUUUUCGGUGUGGGAUGAGCUCGCGGCCUAUCAGCUUGUUGGUGGGGUAAUGGCCUACCAAGGCGUCGACGGGUAGCCGGCCUGAGAGGGUGUACGGCCACAUUGGGACUGAGAGACGGCCCAGGCUCCUACGGGAGGCAGCAGUGGGGAAUAUUGCACAAUGGGCGCAAGCCUGAUGCAGCGACGCCGCGUGGGGGAUGACGGCCUUCGGGUUGUAAACUCCUUUCGCUAGGGACGAAGCGUUUUGUGACGGUACCUGGAGAAGAAGCACCGGCUAACUACGUG
This 467-nucleotide ribosomal RNA is filed under the name uncultured bacterium. RNAcentral describes it as "partial 16S ribosomal RNA". It matches the Rfam family "Bacterial small subunit ribosomal RNA", at positions 28 to 507 of the family's 1533-position model. The record is from RNAcentral.